UCAACGGAUUAAUCAGUCUCUCACGAAAUGUUGGAGCGUAAGGUUGUACGCGGUCGCUCGCAAGCAGUCGGCGUCAUUCAUGCUUGAUUUCGAGGAUUCUAUCCGUGUCUAAGGUGAGUAGCCGAUUUGUCAAGCAUACCCGUUUUUCAACGCCGCUUUGCAAUGUUUUUACCCGAGCUCGCAGGCACUAAUUGAUGGGAGGAUCGUGCAGUCAGUGUGUUGCCACGCGCGCUGUGUGCAACGGUUUCCCUCGUACGACGCGGCUGGCAUAGGGGCGUCGGCAUUUGUCAGCAGGUGGUCAAAACGGAAUCUCAACAAAGCUGAAUGGCCUUCAUUUUCAAGCAAGAAAAGCAAGCUGGACCGGCAUUACAAAUCUCCUACGAAACACAGAAGAGGGUCAUGUCAUAUAUAUAUAUAUAUUUCGUCGGCAGUGUUUGGACACGUGGAUACAUCUCUAUGAAGUUGCUUAUUGUGGAUUUACGUUGUGCGUUAACGAUGGACAGAAUGCUUUCACAACAUGUAAGUGCUUAUUAAGGUUUUUGUUGUGGUGUUCUGUGGUGGUGUUCUGUAAGGUUUUUGUUGUGUAAUUCAUUUGUGGGUUUACUAUAUGUCUUGCUAGCGAUUUUCAACCGCUUGGUAUUCGCUCUUAUAAAAAAAACAUCAGAAAUAACUUUCGCCAUUGUAUCUGCCACUUGCAAUAUUUUCACAUCUUCUGUACUUUUAUGUGUAAGAAUAAAUGUUCACGCAGGAACUGUA
Ornithodoros turicata is the source of this 756-nucleotide long non-coding RNA. RefSeq lists it as uncharacterized. The transcript has 2 exons. The record is from RefSeq and is a predicted model, not a curated record. NCBI's taxonomy places the organism in Eukaryota, Metazoa, Arthropoda, Arachnida, Ixodida, Argasidae.